This is a long non-coding RNA of Cebus imitator (Panamanian white-faced capuchin), 272 nucleotides long. RefSeq lists it as uncharacterized. The record is from RefSeq and is a predicted model, not a curated record. The transcript is spliced from 3 exons. Lineage: Eukaryota; Metazoa; Chordata; Mammalia; Primates; Cebidae.
GGGAGUCCUUUCCUACUCAGCUGUCAUUGAGCCUUCCGGGGAGUUUUCCUCCUGGUAAUUUCUCAGAGCCUAAUAGUGGGCAGAAAAAUCAGAUUUGCUGAGAACAUCUGGGAUUACAGAGAGUGCUGAUGUGGAGAAAGGAAGGGCAUCGUGAUCUUAGAGAAACCCUCCUCUAGAGAAUGAGGAAACCAAGGCAUAUGAGAAGAUGAUCUACCUAAAGUCACAUGAUGAGCUGAUCAACAAGAAUCCUUAGGUGUUUUUCCACAUCAAGU